GAUGAACGCUGGCGGCGUGCCUAACACAUGCAAGUCGAACGGAGUUCUUAAGGAAUGCGACUUCGGUCAAAUGACUUUUGAACUUAGUGGCGGACGGGUGAGUAACGCGUGAGCAACCUGCCUUUCAGAGGGGGAUAACAUUUGGAAACAGAUGCUAAUACCGCAUAAGAUUACAGUACCGCAUGAUACAGUGAUCAAAGGAGCAAUCCGCUGAAAGAUGGGCUCGCGUCCGAUUAGAUAGUUGGUGAGGUAACGGCUCACCAAGUCGACGAUCGGUAGCCGGACUGAGAGGUUGAACGGCCACAUUGGGACUGAGACACGGCCCAGACUCCUACGGGAGGCAGCAGUGGGGAAUAUUGCACAAUGGGCGAAAGCCUGAUGCAGCAACGCCGCGUGAGGGAAGACGGUUUUCGGAUUGUAAACCUCUGUUUUCGGUGACGAACAAAUGACGGUAACCGAGUAGGAAGCCACGGCUAACUACGUGCCAGCAGCCGACGG
RNAcentral lists this ribosomal RNA (498 nucleotides) under uncultured bacterium. RNAcentral's name for it is "bacterial SSU rRNA". It matches the Rfam family "Bacterial small subunit ribosomal RNA", at positions 28 to 520 of the family's 1533-position model. The record is from RNAcentral.